RNAcentral lists this ribosomal RNA (459 nucleotides) under uncultured bacterium. Its description in RNAcentral is "partial 16S ribosomal RNA". It matches the Rfam family "Bacterial small subunit ribosomal RNA", at positions 338 to 795 of the family's 1533-position model. The record is from RNAcentral.
CCUACGGGUGGCAGCAGUGAGGAAUAUUGGUCAAUGGGCGCGAGCCUGAACCAGCCAAGUCGCGUGAGGGAAGACGGUCCUAUGGAUUGUAAACCUCUUUUGUCGGGGAGCAAAAGACGCCACGCGUGGCGUUCCGAGAGUCCCCGAAGAAACAGCAUUGGCUUACUCCGUGCCAGCAGCCGCGGUAAUACGGAGGAUGAGAGCGGUAACCGGAUUUAUUGGGUUUAAAGGGUGCCCAGGCGGAAGAUCAAGUCAGCGGUAAAAUUGAGAGGCUCAACCUCUUCGAGCCGUUGAAACUGGUGUUCUUGAGUGAGCGAGAAGUAUGCGGAAUGCGUGGUGUAGCGGUGAAAUGCAUAGAUAUCACGCAGAACUCCGAUUGCGAAGGCAGCAUACCGGCGCUCAACUGACGCUCAUGCACGAAAGUGUGGGUAUCGAACAGGAUUAGAUACCCUAGUAGUC